GAUGAACGCUGGCGGCGUGCCUAAUACAUGCAAGUCGAGCGAACAGACGAGGAGCUCGCUCCUCUGACGUUAGCGGCGGACGGGUGAGUAACACGUGGAUAACCUACCUAUAAGACUGGGAUAACUUCGGGAAACCGGAGCUAAUACCGGAUAAUAUAUUGAACCGCAUGGUUCAAUAGUGAAAGACGGUUUUGCUGUCACUUAUAGAUGGAUCCGCGCCGCAUUAGCUAGUUGGUAAGGUAACGGCCUACCAAGGCAACGAUGCGUAGCCGACCUGAGAGGAUGAUCAGCCACACUGGAACUGAGACACGGUCCAGACUCCUACGGGAGGCAGCAGUGGGGAAUAUUCCACAAUGGGCGAAAGCCUGACGGAGCAACGCCGCGUGAGUGAUGAAGGUCUUCGGAUCGUAAAGCUCUGUUAUUAGGGAAGAACAAAUGUGUAAGUAACUAUGCACGUCUUGACGGUACCUAAUCAGAAAGCCACGGCUAACUACGUG
Molecule: ribosomal RNA, 497 nt
Filed under: uncultured bacterium
Lineage: Bacteria
Description: partial 16S ribosomal RNA
Rfam family: Bacterial small subunit ribosomal RNA
Source: RNAcentral